ACCGUCAGCAAAAAGUCUACAAACAAUAAAUGCUGAUGGGGUUGUAGAGAACUGUGUAACCUCUAGGUGCUGGUGAGAUGUAAAGUGGUUAACAGCCAAUAAUGAGAACAGAAAGGAACUGCGUGUAAAAGUAAAAACUGAGGUACCAUUCAAUCCAGCAGGCACACCACUGGGCCUCUCACCUGAGAAGACCAGAAUCGAAAAGACACACGCUGCAAAAGCUGCACUGCAGCCUUAUUCAAAAUAGCCAAGAUGGGAAGCAACCAAAAUGUCCAUCAACGGGUGAAUGGAUAAAGAAGAAGGGGUCCAUGUACACAAUGAAAUAUUAGCCAUGGAAAACAAUGAAACACUGCUCUUUGAGGCACCAGAGAUGAGCCUGGAGAUAAUCACAAAACAUGAGCAGGCACACCACUGGGCCUCUCACCUGAGAAGACCAGAAUCGAAAAGACACACGCUGCAAAAGCUGCACUGCAGCCUUAUUCAAAAUAGCCAAGAUGGGAAGCAACCAAAAUGUCCAUCAACGGGUGAAUGGAUAAAGAAGAAGGGGUCCAUGUACACAAUGAAAUAUUAGCCAUGGAAAACAAUGAAACACUGCUCUUUGAGGCACCAGAGAUGAGCCUGGAGAUAAUCACAAAACAUGAGCAGGCGCACCAAUGGGCCUCUCACCUGAGAAGACCAGAAUGAAGAAGACCCGGGCUGCAAAAGCUGCACUGCAGCCUUAUUCACAAUAGACAAGACAGUGAAGCAACCAAAAUGUCCAUCAACAGAUGAAAGGAUAAAGAAGAAGUGGUCCAUGUACACAAUGAAUACUAGCCAUGGAAAACAAUGAAACACUGCUCUUUGAGGCACCAUAGAUGAUCUUGGAGAUAAUCACAGAACAUGAGGUAAGUCGGAAAGCAAAAGUCCUAUAUCCUAUGAUAUCACUUAUAGGCGUUAUCUAAUAACUGACACAAAUGAACAUAUUUCCACAGAGAAAGUCAAUCACAGACUUAUUAAAAAAAACUAUGCUUAUCUAAAAGGAAAGGUGGGGGGAAUGGAUAAAUGAAGAUUAGCGUUACCAUAUGUAUACAAAUACAUAUUAUAUACAUAUAUCAAAAAGACCGACCAUAUAGCAAGGAAGGUUUACGGAACACUCUGUAAUAAUUUACACGGGAAGAGGAUCUCUACAUCAAUAGGUAUAUAGAAUAUGUAGAUGAACCAGAGUGUG
This is a long non-coding RNA of Balaenoptera musculus (blue whale), 1207 nucleotides long. RefSeq lists it as uncharacterized. The transcript is spliced from 3 exons. The record is from RefSeq and is a predicted model, not a curated record. Lineage: Eukaryota; Metazoa; Chordata; Mammalia; Artiodactyla; Balaenopteridae.